AUACCUUUCUCGGCCUUUUGGCUAAGAUCAAGUGUAGUAUCUGUUCUUAUCAGUUUAAUAUCUGAUACGUGGGCCAUCGGUCCGCAUGAUAUUAAAUUUAUUUUUCUAGGGGGAAGACCCACCGCAGUAGCUUGCUACUGGGGUCCUCGCGCGUCGCCUAUGCGUUGCACUACUGCACGGGCCUGGCGCACCCCAC
Nelumbo nucifera (sacred lotus) is the source of this 196-nucleotide non-coding RNA. The record is from Rfam. Lineage: Eukaryota; Viridiplantae; Streptophyta; Magnoliopsida; Proteales; Nelumbonaceae.